UUAAUUGGUCAAGCUACAAAGGGCUCACGGCGGAUACCUUGGCACACAGAGGCGAUGAAGGACGUGGUUACCUGCGAUAAGUCUCGGGGAGCUGGAAGCACGCUUUGAUCCGGGAAUUUCCGAAUGGGGCAACCCUUUUAUACGGCCAGCUGAAUACAUAGGCUGGCGCGAGCCAACCCAGCGAACUGAAACAUCUUAGUAGCUGGAGGAAAGGAAAGUAAAAACGACUCCCUAAGUAGCGGCGAGCGAACGGGGAAGAGCCUAAACCGAUGGUUUCGACCAUCGGGGUUGUGGGACAGCAACGUGUAUCAGGAAUGUUAGGAGAAGUGUUUGAAUGGCACGCCACAGAGGGUGAAAGCCCCGUAUCUGAAAACUGAACUGAGCUAGCUGUAUCCCGAGUAGCACGGAGCACGUGAAAUUCCGUGUGAAUCCGCGAGGACCACCUCGUAAGGCUAAGUACUACUGUGUGACCGAUAGCGAAACAGUACCGCGAGGGAAAGGUGAAAAGAACCCCGGGAGGGGAGUGAAAUAGAACAUGAAACCGUGAGCCUACAAGCAAUGGGAGCCCUACUUAUAGGGUGACCGUGUGCCUGUUGAAGAAUGAGCCGGCGACUUAUAGGCACUGGCGGGUUAAACCGGAAAUGGUGGAGCCAUAGCGAAAGCGAGUCUGAAUAGGGCGUUUGUCAGUGUUUAUAGACCCGAACCCGGGUGAUCUAACCAUGGCCAGGAUGAAGCUUGGGUGAUACCAAGUGGAGGUCCGAACCGACUGGCGUUGAAAAGCCAGCGGAUGAGCUGUGGUUAGGGGUGAAAUGCCAAUCGAACCCGGAGCUAGCUGGUUCUCCCCGAAAUACGUUGAGGCGUAGCGUCUCGUGCUCCAGCAGGGGGGUAAAGCCACCAUUUCGGUACGGGCUGCGAGAGCGGUACCAAAUCGAGAUGAACUCUGAAUACCCUGUGUGUAGCGAGGCAGUCAGACUGUGGGGGAUAAGCUCCAUGGUCGAGAGGGAAACAGCCCAGACCGCCAGCUAAGGUCCCCAAAUCAACACUAAGUGAUAAGGGAGGUGGGAUUGCAUAGACAACCAGGAGGUUUGCCUAGAAGCAGCCAUCCUCAAAGGAGUGCGUAAUAGCUCACUGGUCGAGCGAUCCUGCACCGAAAAUGAACGGGGCUAAGUGUUGUACCGAAGCUGCGGAUUUUAUGGUAGGGGAGCGUUCUAUGUGGGGCGAAGCAUUAGCGUGAGCGGAUGUGGACUGCAUAGAAGUGAGAAUGUCGGCUUGAGUAGCGAAAACAUGGGUGAGAAUCCCAUGCACCGAAACCCUAAGGGUUCCUCCGGCAGGCUCGUCCGCGGAGGGUUAGUCUGGACCUAAGGCGAGGCCGAAAGGCGUGGGUCGAUGGAUAACAGGUCAACAUUCCUGUACCGGUCAUGUUUUGGGAAGAGGGACGGAGAAGGCUAGCCAAGCCAGAUGUUGGUUACUGGUUCAAGCGUUCGAGGCGUUGAGGAGCGGUGAAAACGUUCCGAGCUGAGGCGUGAGUACGAGCUGCUACGGCAGCGAAGUUGGUGACGUCAUGCUUCCAAGAAAAGCUCUAUACCCGUUAAGACAUGAUUGCCAGUACCCGAAACCGACACAGGUGGGGUGGUAGAGAAUACCGAGGUGCGCGAGGUAACUCUCUCUAAGGAACUCGGCAAAAUGGCCCCGUAACUUCGGGAGAAGGGGUGCCACAGCAAUGUGGUCGCAGUGAAGAGGCCCUGGCGACUGUUUACCAAAAACACAGGUCUCCGCUAAGUCGCAAGACGAUGUAUGGGGGCUGACGCCUGCCCAGUGCCGGAAGGUUAAGGAAGCCGGUCAGCGUAAGCGAAGCUGGCGACUGAAGCCCCGGUGAACGGCGGCCGUAACUAUAACGGUCCUAAGGUA
Molecule: ribosomal RNA, 1908 nt
Filed under: uncultured Synechococcus sp. MB11E09
Lineage: Bacteria; Bacillati; Cyanobacteriota; Cyanophyceae; Synechococcales; Synechococcaceae
Description: bacterial LSU rRNA
Rfam family: Bacterial large subunit ribosomal RNA
Source: RNAcentral